Molecule: unclassified non-coding RNA, 285 nt
Organism: Scleropages formosus (Asian bonytongue)
Lineage: Eukaryota; Metazoa; Chordata; Actinopteri; Osteoglossiformes; Osteoglossidae
Rfam family: Metazoan signal recognition particle RNA
About the family: The signal recognition particle (SRP) is a universally conserved ribonucleoprotein. It is involved in the co-translational targeting of proteins to membranes.
Source: Ensembl
GCUGGACUUGGUGGAGCACAUCUGUAAUGUCCCCGUCUGAGAGACUGAGGUUGCUGGACUGCUUGAAGCAGGGGUUGCGGUACUCGUGUGCGCUAUGGCGAACAGGAGUCCUGGUGACGGUCUUCCUUGACAUGGUCUGCUUGGGGAGCCUUGGCACACCAGGUGGUCUAGGGAGAGGUGAACCAACCCAGGCCGGUGACAGAGCAGGUGAACGCCCCUGUGCCGAGCGGUCUGUGAGUAGCAUCUACAGUGCUGCCAAGACGACACAGCAGGACACAGCUUUUU